This is a long non-coding RNA of Linepithema humile (Argentine ant), 573 nucleotides long. RefSeq lists it as uncharacterized. Lineage: Eukaryota; Metazoa; Arthropoda; Insecta; Hymenoptera; Formicidae. The record is from RefSeq and is a predicted model, not a curated record.
AAAGGGGAUUUCGACGUAAGAUCGAUCGCGAUCCUUCAUGCUGUUGUGUUUUCACCGAUCAUAGUAGCAGACGUCUCUCGUGAUUUGUUGGGACAUAUGCGAAGGAGACAUUAUAUUGACCAAACGUAGCUGCUAGAAAUUCAAUGAAGACAGUACGCGAAAAGAUGAGUUUUAAAAUACGCUUGAUAUUCGUACUUGUUACCAUCAGCAUGUUUAGGCAUGAGACACUAGCACUUGUGCCGCAUUGGAAAGCAUGGAGGAUGCCUAGAAGAUGUUUUUAUGACUUAGAUCAUGGUUAUUGCUCUGACUAUGAAAGGAAUAAUGAAACAAGGUUUUGGUUUAAUAUGUACAAUGGAACAUGUGUACCUUUUACAUACUCGGGUUGUGAAGGAAAUGAAAAUAAUUUUUAUAUUUAUGAAAAUUGUAUGUAUGUAUGCCGGGGCAGAUAAAUACCUUUCGCAAGUUCUAAAUUUAAAUAAUUUUUACAAUUGAUAAGUAUUUGAUAAGUAUUUUAAUAAUAGUUUGAUAUUACUAAGUUUCAAUACAAUUACUAAAUAAAAACUUUGUGGUCUU